GGGAUUUUUUGGGGUUUUUUUGGGUUUUUUGGGGGAUUUUUUUUGGUUUUUUGGGGUUUUUUUGGGUUUUUUUGAGUUUUUUUGGGUAUUUCGGGGGGUUUUUGAGGUUUUUUGGGGUUUUCAACCCCAAAUUUCGCCGCCCUGACCCCGAUUUUGGCCCCCCCAGGUCGGACUGCGAGCGCCCCGGCCCCGAGCUCUGCUCCUUCCCCUCGGCCAACGUCUCCCUGCUGGGGGAGCACCGCGAGAAGGUGUUGCUCUAUGGUCAGCUGUACCGGAUCUCCCUGGGAAUGUGGGAAUUUGGGAAUUCAGGAUUUAUUUGGGAAUUUGGGAUUUAUUUGGGAUUGAUUUGGGAUUUAUCCCAUCCAGCUGUUGCUGUACGGUCAGCUGUACCGGAUCUCUCUGGGAAUGUGGGAAUUCAGGAAUUUGGGAUUGAUUUGGGAAUGAUUUGGGAUUGAUUUGGGAAUGAUUUGGGAUUUAUCCCAUCCAGCUGUUGCUCUAUGGUCAGCUGUACCGGAUCUCUCUGGGAAUUUGGGAAUUUGGGAAUUCAGGAUUAAUUUGGGAUUGAUUUGGGAUUUAUUUGGGAUUUAUUUGGGAUUUAUUUGGGAUUUAUUUGGGAUUGAUUUGGGAUUUAUUUGGGAAUGAUUUGGGAUUUAUUUGGGAUUUAUCCCGUGCAGCUGUUGCUGUACAGUCAGCUGUACCGGUCAGCUGUACCGGAUCUCUCUGGGAAUGUGGGAAUUCAGGAUUUAUUUGGGAAUUUGGGAAUUCUUUGGGAUUGAUUUGGGAAUUUGGGAAUGCCCAGGUGUUGCUGUACGGUCAGCUGUACCGGAUCCCUCUGGGAAUGUGGGAAUUCAGGAAUUUGGGAUUGAUUUGGGAUUGAUUUGGGAUUGAUUUAUUUGGAAUUUAUCCCAUCCAGCUGUUGCUCUAUGGGCAGCUGUACCGGAUCUCUCUGGGAAUUUGGGAAUUUGGGAAUUUGGGAUUGAUUUGGGAUUGAUUUGGGAUUGAUUUGGGAUUUAUCCCGUGCAGCUGUUGCUCUAUGGUCAGCUGUACCGGAUCUCUCUGGGAAUGUGGGAAUGUGGGAAUUUGGGAUUUAUUUGGGAUUGAUUUGGGAAUUUGGGAUUUAUUUGGGAAUGAUUAAUUUGGGAAUGCCCAGCUGUUGCUCUACGGUCAGCUGGACCGGAUCUCCCUGGGAAUUUGGGAAUUUGGGAAUUCUUUGGGAUUGAUUUGGGAUUGAUUUGGGAUUGAUUUGGGAAUUUGGGAAUGCCCAGCUGUUGCUCUAUGGUCAGCUGUACCGGAUCUCUCUGGGAAUGUGGGAAUUCAGGAAUUUGGGAAUUUGGGAAUUCAGGAUUUAUUUGGGAUUGAUUUGGGAUUUAUUUGGGAAUGAUUUGGGAUUUAUUUGGGAUUUAUCCCGUGCAGCUGUUGCUGUACAGUCAGCUGUACCGGAUCUCUCUGGGAAUG
This 1455-nucleotide long non-coding RNA is filed under the name Cyanistes caeruleus (blue tit). RNAcentral's name for it is "lncRNA (ENSCCEG00000017722.1)". Lineage: Eukaryota; Metazoa; Chordata; Aves; Passeriformes; Paridae. The record is from RNAcentral.